AGAGUUUGAUCCUGGCUCAGAUUGAACGCUGGCGGCAGGCCUAACACAUGCAAGUCGAGCGGCAGCGGGAAAGUAGCUUGCUACUUUUGCCGGCGAGCGGCGGACGGGUGAGUAAUGCCUGGGGAUCUGCCCAGUCGAGCGGGAUAACAGUUGGAAACGACUGCUAAUACCGCAUACGCCCUACGGGGGAAAGGAGGGGACCUUCGGGCCUUUCGCGAUUGGAUGAACCCAGGUGGGAUUAGCUAGUUGGUGGGGUAAUGGCUCACCAAGGCGACGAUCCCUAGCUGGUCUGAGAGGAUGAUCAGCCACACUGGAACGGAGACACGGUCCAGACUCCCACGGGAGGCAGCAGUGGGGAAUAUUGCACAAUGGGGGAAACCCUGAUGCAGCCAUGCCGCGUGUGUGAAGAAGGCCUUCGGGUUGUAAAGCACUUUCAGCGAGGAGGAAAGGUUGGCGCCUAAUACGUGUCAACUGUGACGUUACUCGCAGAAGAAGCACCGGCUAACUCCGUGCCAGCAGCCGCGGUAAUACGGAGGGUGCAAGCGUUAAUCGGAAUUACUGGGCGUAAAGCGCACGCAGGCGGUUGGAUA
RNAcentral lists this ribosomal RNA (590 nucleotides) under uncultured bacterium. RNAcentral describes it as "bacterial SSU rRNA". It matches the Rfam family "Bacterial small subunit ribosomal RNA", at positions 8 to 585 of the family's 1533-position model. The record is from RNAcentral.